UAAACACAAAUUUUUGUAUUUCAAUUUGAUAAAAUACAAAAACGCGUUACAAAAAUAAUUUGAUAGAAUUUGAAGAUAGAUUUAUGCGGGUUGCAAUAUCUAGUUAAUCCUCUGAUUCUUCUCUUCCAUUUGAUUCUUGAACAAGCUCGAAGGUUAUUGAAAUACUUGAUUUGAUGACGCCAAUCCAAGGGACUUAAGUCAUGAUUUUGGAUUGAACGUUGAACUUGAUUUGAUUUGAUUUGAAGAACGUCCUUAGAAUUUGUAAGAACGCCUUGAAGCUUUGGGACUUGGUUGAUUUGAUUUGAGGAAGAUCGUUCUUGGAAUUUGUAAGAACGCCUUGAAGCUUUCGAACUUGAUUUCUUUGGAUACUUGAAGAUCACUUCAAAGAUUUGCAGGAAUACUUGAAGAAUUUGAAGGAUACUUGAUGAAUACUCGAAGACUUGAUAGAAUUCUUUGAACUCCUCAAUCUUCCACUUCAACUUGUGAUACUAGAGAGAAUUCUUUAUGCUCUUCGAUCUUCCGCUCCUUCGAGUUGUUAUUUAUGAGCUCCCUACACCUCUAUUUAUAGAUUUUAGAGAUGGGCUUCGUGGGCUUUAUGGGCUUUGGGCCUCCAUGUAUGGGCCUUAGGGCCUUAAGUGGCCAAUAAGCCCAUUAAUUCAUUUUAUUAAAUAUUAAUCAUAUAUAUCUAUUUAAUUAGGAAUAAAAUCCCAUUUAAUAA
Molecule: long non-coding RNA, 718 nt
Organism: Salvia miltiorrhiza (redroot sage)
Lineage: Eukaryota; Viridiplantae; Streptophyta; Magnoliopsida; Lamiales; Lamiaceae
Exons: 2
Source: RefSeq, a predicted model, not a curated record